UAUCCGUAGGUGAACCUGCGGAAGGAUCAUUAAUGAGUUGUCAUGGGGUUCGAUGCUGGCAGCCAAUUUUUGGAUGCAUGUGCUUGCCCUAACAAUCAUCUUCCAAACACCUGUGCACAUUUUUGAGGGAGUCUUGAGUUGGUUGCCGCUCUUGGGUGAUUUUCUCACAUUCCCUUAAAUCAUUAUACGCUAUUAACAAUGUUGAACGUGCUCUGUGCAGCAAGGCUAUUAAUAUAAUACAACUUUUAACAACGGAUCUCUUGGCUCUC
RNAcentral lists this unclassified non-coding RNA (269 nucleotides) under plant metagenome. RNAcentral describes it as "partial contains small subunit ribosomal RNA, internal transcribed spacer 1, and 5.8S ribosomal RNA". The record is from RNAcentral.